UAAGGAAUAUUGGUCAAUGGACGCAAGUCUGAACCAGCCAUGCCGCGUGGAGGAUGAAGGUCCUCUGGAUUGUAAACUUCUUUUCUCUGGGACGAAAAAAGGGCAUUCUUGCUCACUUGACAGUACCAGAGGAAUAAGCACCGGCUAACUCCGUGCCAGCAGCCGCGGUAAUACGGAGGGUGCAAGCGUUAUCCGGAUUCACUGGGUUUAAAGGGUGCGUAGGCGGGCAGGUAAGUCAGUGGUGAAAUCUCCGGGCUUAACCCGGAAACUGCCGUUGAUACUAUCUGUCUUGAAUGCCGUGGAGGUAAGCGGAAUAUGUCAUGUAGCGGUGAAAUGCUUAGAUAUGACAUAGAACACCAAUUGCGAAGGCAGCUUGCUACACGGUUAUUGACGCUGAUGCACGAAAGCGUGGGGAUCAAACAG
This 423-nucleotide ribosomal RNA is filed under the name uncultured bacterium. Its description in RNAcentral is "bacterial SSU rRNA". It matches the Rfam family "Bacterial small subunit ribosomal RNA", at positions 355 to 775 of the family's 1533-position model. The record is from RNAcentral.